This 493-nucleotide ribosomal RNA is filed under the name Cryptorhynchus albopunctatus. RNAcentral's name for it is "SSU rRNA". It matches the Rfam family "Eukaryotic small subunit ribosomal RNA", at positions 102 to 574 of the family's 1831-position model. Lineage: Eukaryota; Metazoa; Arthropoda; Insecta; Coleoptera; Curculionidae. The record is from RNAcentral.
UAAAUCAGUUAUGGUUCCUUAGAUCGUACCCACAAUUACUUGGAUAACUGUGGUAAUUCUAGAGCUAAUACAUGCAAACAGAGCUCCGACCGGAGACGGGAGGAGUGCUUUUAUUAGAUCAAAACCAAUCGGUGGCGRGUCCGCUCGUCAUCGUCCAACUUGGUGACUCUGAAUAACUUUACGCUGAUCGCACGGUCAUCGCACCGGCGACGCAUCUUUCAAAUGUCUGCCUUAUCAACUGUCGAUGGUAGGUUCUGCGCCUACCAUGGUUGUAACGGGUAACGGGGAAUCAGGGUUCGAUUCCGGAGAGGGAGCCUGAGAAACGGCUACCACAUCCAAGGAAGGCAGCAGGCGCGCAAAUUACCCACUCCCGGCACGGGGAGGUAGUGACRAAAAAUAACGAUACGGGACUCAUCCGAGGCCCCGUAAUCGGAAUGAGUACACUCUAAACCCUUUAACGAGGAUCAAUUGGAGGGCAAGUCUGGUGCCAGCA